GGGGAUGAGAUGUUCAAGAAAAAGCUGCUAACUUUUUUCUUUAGCGGUUAAAUUCCGUUUACACCCCUA
This 69-nucleotide transfer RNA is filed under the name Perlomyia kappa. RNAcentral's name for it is "tRNA-Ser". The record is from RNAcentral. Lineage: Eukaryota; Metazoa; Arthropoda; Insecta; Plecoptera; Leuctridae.